UACAGAGGGGGCAAGCGUUGUUCGGAAUUACUGGGCGUAAAGGGCGCGUAGGCGGCCUUCUAAGUCGAACGUGAAAUCCCUGGGCUCAACCCAGGAACUGCGUCCGAUACUGGAAGGCUUGAAUCCGGGAGAGGGAUGCGGAAUUCCAGGUGUAGCGGUGAAAUGCGUAGAUAUCUGGAGGAACACCGGUGGCGAAGGCGGCAUCCUGGACCGGUAUUGACGCUGAGGCACGAAAGCGUGGGGAGCAAACAGG
RNAcentral lists this ribosomal RNA (253 nucleotides) under uncultured bacterium. RNAcentral describes it as "partial 16S ribosomal RNA". It matches the Rfam family "Bacterial small subunit ribosomal RNA", at positions 524 to 776 of the family's 1533-position model. The record is from RNAcentral.